Molecule: ribosomal RNA, 366 nt
Filed under: uncultured bacterium
Lineage: Bacteria
Description: bacterial SSU rRNA
Rfam family: Bacterial small subunit ribosomal RNA
Source: RNAcentral
GAUGAACGCUAGCGGCAGGCCUAACACAUGCAAGUCGAGGGGCAGCACGUCUUCGGAUGGUGGCGACCGGCGCACGGGUGCGUAACGCGUAUGCAACCUACCUCUUACAGUGGGAUAGCCCAGAGAAAUUUGGAUUAAUACCGCAUAGUAUACAGAUUCAGCAUUGGGACUGUAUUAAACAUUUAUGGGUAAGAGAUGGGGCAUGCGUUCUAUUAGUUAGUUGGAGUGGUAACGGCACCCCAAGACAGCGAUAGAUAGGGGCCCUGAGAGGGGGAUCCCCCACACUGGUACUGAGACACGGACCAGACUCCUACGGGAGGCAGCAGUGAGGAUAUGGACAAUGGGCGAGAGCCUGAUCCAGCCAUG